UCACGUGACACUCUCUGACGAAGGUGGAAGUUGCUGCCGAAACCGUCGGAAAUGUUCGAAGCCUUCAUAGAGCCAUGUGAGAUCAAGACACCAGACUGAGCCGUGCUUUGAAUCCGUGGCAAUGGGGCCGUUCAAUCACGCACCAGAGAGGAAGAAUGCCCUUGCGGAACGAACGAACAUUCCUUACACAAUAGCCACAGUUCAGGCAGAGCAACUCUAUUGUACAUUCAACACAAAGAACUUGAAGUGAGUCUCCGGAAGCUGUGAAUAUGGGUUACAGGCACUUCAGAAAUUCGGUGUAACAGUGGGAAUGUGAGAAGAGACAAGAACAUGCUGCUGUCUCCUGACCCAGCAAGCUGUUUUGAAUUCAAAAUUGCACAUCAGGGAUUUCACAGUACUCUGGAAAGUGUCUCUGGUGAGCAGUGUGACCAAUGAGGUGGGCGUGGCUUAUUCGCAGCGCACACAGGUGAGCAAUUGCUGGUUCUCAAUAUGAACAACGCUGAGGUGAACACACAAAAAAUGGUCUUCCUAAGGAUGUCCACAAGAACAUUCUUCCAAAGAAGCCUGAAAUACCCGACCAUGGCAUGACUGCAUAAAGGGCUGAGACAUCCCAUCUUCCUCAUUACCUCUAUCCCCAAGACCAUAUCUAUCCCAAGUGCCGCUGUACUGUGCAUCCAAAUGCUGAUGAUGAGGAAAUCCUGCCAACAAGUAAGGUUGAGUUCCUUAUUCUAUUUAAGGAGAGCAAGUGACUGUAUACUGGAAGGCAGAAGAAAGGGCUGAGGACAUUACAGAGGAGCAUUUUGAGGUCUUCUCUGUUGUGGAGAAGAUAGUUGACAGCAAAAGAAUAACAAGUGAAGAAGCAAUUCAAUGAGAAAUGUGAUGAGAUGAAGCAAAUUUAACAUAAUGACUUCUGUCUAAAUGCCAAAGAUAAACAAAUGGAACACAUUUAAA
Molecule: long non-coding RNA, 951 nt
Organism: Syngnathus acus (greater pipefish)
Lineage: Eukaryota; Metazoa; Chordata; Actinopteri; Syngnathiformes; Syngnathidae
Exons: 6
Source: RefSeq, a predicted model, not a curated record